Molecule: ribosomal RNA, 538 nt
Filed under: uncultured bacterium
Lineage: Bacteria
Description: bacterial SSU rRNA
Rfam family: Bacterial small subunit ribosomal RNA
Source: RNAcentral
AGAGUUUGAUCCUGGCUCAGAACGAACGUUAGCGGCGCGCCUAACACGUGCAAGUCGAACGAGAAAGGGCUUCGGCCCCGGUAAAGUGGCGCACGGGUGAGUAAUACGUGGAUAAUCUUCCCUCGAGCGGGGGAUAACAUUCCGAAAGGAGUGCUAAUACCGCAUAAGACCACGGAGCCGAAAGGCUCUGAGGUAAAAGCAGGCCUCUAUACAUAAGCUUGCACUUGAGGAUGAGUCCACGGCCCAUCAGCUAGUUGGUAGGGUAAUGGCCUACCAAGGCAAAGACGGGUAGCUGGUCUGAGAGGAUGAUCAGCCACACUGGAACUGAGACACGGUCCAGACUCCUACGGGAGGCAGCAGUGGGGAAUCUUGCGCAAUGGACGAAAGUCUGACGCAGCGACGCCGCGUGGGUGAUGAAGGCCUUCGGGUUGUAAAGCCCUGUGGGGAGAGACGAAUAAGUGUUGGCCAAUAUCCAGCAUGAUGACGGUAUCUCCUUAGCAAGCACCGGCUAACUCUGUGCCAGCCGCCGCGGUAAUAC